GCAAAAACAUAUCUUCGCCUUUCGCCUAUAUCUGAAUACAACACAAAAACUAUAUCCUUUUCUAAUGAAUCAAUUCUGAUAAAUCGAUUCGUAACGUGUAGUGAGAUACUCUCAGAAGUGUAAAUUCACUUCAGAUGGACUAUCGGAUUUUCGCAUGUUCUUAAAAGAAAUAGAUCAUCGACAUCGUCUCGUUCGUGUUGUUGUUAGCCGAUGAGGAGUGUCGUUGUUGCUCUCCGCCAUUACCGUCGGGUAUCGCUUCUCCGGGAGAUGCUUUCGUUUUUGGUAAUCUCUCCGUCGCUUGGGACUGUUCAUCUGCUGAAACAAAGCGAAGUCGAGCGGAAUCGAAGGGAACAAUUGUUUAUAAGCGAGGUAAGGGUACACAUUCACCAUGAGAGCUGACUCUGUUCGUUGUAGAAACCUUAUGAGCGGUUUCAAAACCGAAUUAGAGAUCGAUUUGUGAAAAUUAGCAGUUGAAGGAGGGAAUGUGUUGUGGAGACUUUGAUCUUCUUGUGCAAUCUGUAUCUCUUGAGUGCUCUGUGAACGUUGACCAUAGCUGGGAAAAAACCGUUGGCGAAAGGCAGGGGAAGGAGCAACAAUUUUAGAAGAAGUGACAUGAAGGAGAAUCAAACUCAUCUGCUCUUCCUUUAAAUGUCACAAAUAAUUUUAUAUAAAUCAAUUUUUGUUUUUAUUUUUAAGACAUCCAUACACAAAGUUCACCAAUGGAAGAUGAAAAGUAAUAAAAACUUAAUGGGAAUAUCUAGAUUAAACAA
Molecule: non-coding RNA, 770 nt
Organism: Camelina sativa (false flax)
Lineage: Eukaryota; Viridiplantae; Streptophyta; Magnoliopsida; Brassicales; Brassicaceae
Source: RefSeq, a predicted model, not a curated record